RNAcentral lists this transfer RNA (67 nucleotides) under Munidopsis lauensis. RNAcentral describes it as "tRNA-Ile". Lineage: Eukaryota; Metazoa; Arthropoda; Malacostraca; Decapoda; Munidopsidae. The record is from RNAcentral.
GGCAUUGUGCCUGAACAAAGGAUAACAUUGAUAGUGUUAAUCAUAUAGGCCUCUCCUAUCUUUGCCU